Canis lupus familiaris (dog) is the source of this 5030-nucleotide long non-coding RNA. RefSeq lists it as uncharacterized. The record is from RefSeq and is a predicted model, not a curated record. NCBI's taxonomy places the organism in Eukaryota, Metazoa, Chordata, Mammalia, Carnivora, Canidae. The transcript is spliced from 3 exons.
CGUGACCAAGCCCAGGGGACAAAUGGACACAGUGGACACAGCGAUGCCCCAGGACCCAGGACAGGGCAUCUGGAUAUGGAUCUCCGCAUGUUUGGCUUUCUCUGUCCCAGGGGCUAUCCCAGAAGUUGGAAGGGGUGAAGACUCCUUUGGGCUGUCCACUCUUGGGUCUGUGCCUCGAAGAAGAACCUCUUCCUGCUCACUAUGGAUAUGCCUUAUGACCUCGCAGACCGCAAAAAGGAGACCCAGGGGCCACAAAGGUCCACAGCCCCCAGCAUCCUCUCUGCCUUCCCAUUCUCCCUCAGCUGAACAUGGAGGCCUCAGAAGGAAAGAACGGAGGCCAGAUGGGAGAGAAAGCAAGCAGGGAAAGGGGAGGAUCUAUCAAGUUCCAGGUCUGGACCAUGAGAUGCUGCAACUGCAGGUAUCCUCCUCCACGUCAACAUCACUCCCAGCCUUGCCCCCCAUCCAGACACAUCAAGAAGGAAUCUUGAGGUGGUGUCAGAAGGAUUGCCCUGAAGUUCCUUGGGAAAUGGGGUGGCCCCGUCCGCACCACCCCAGGCCUGCGCCACUUAUAGCUCAUCUUCAUCCAGCUUGGCAAGUCUGGCUUGGCAGGGAGGGGUGUUUGGAACUGGCGGAGCUGGAGAAGGGUCGGGAGCAGCUUGGGGGGUGUCACUGGGUGCCUGAAGAAAGACUCAAGUCAGAGGAUUAAAAAGAAUUCCAGGAAUCCACCCUCACUCCUUUCUUUUGGGUGUAUGUCCCUAACCAAGCCACCUCCUCUUGAUAGAUGCCUUAGAUUAUCUAAGACAGUCAGCUUCUCCAGGGGUUAAACUGGAGAAGGGAGGGUCCAAGCAGGGAAGUGGGAAGGGACAGACAAAAGGCAGGUGGUGGAAGAGAGAAAUGAUGUGGAUGUGGUGGAGGGGGAUCUAGGGACCCCAUAAUAAGAGAGGCCCUCCCCAUCCUGCCCCUAUAACAAGGGAACUCCACUCCUCAUACCUGUGUGUCCAGGGGCAGAGGGGCUCUGGCCACCUCCCCUUUGGGUAGCAGCAGCAGGGAAGGGAGAGAGCCAUUGAUGGGUGCAUGUGUGCUGACCUGGGCCCGGUCUCCAGGGCGCAUUCUCCCAGGACUCCCCACCCCAAGCCCUCCUGGCCGCCCCAGGCUGUUGGUCUGGCUCUCUCGUCUCUGAUACUCAAUGGGUGACUGCAACGCUGGGCAAAGAGAACAGAAGGAAGGGUUACAACACAGACAUGUCCUUUCCCCCAAGUGCUCCGCCCACACCAUCCUCCCACUUGGCCCCCCUCCCAUGAACUGUCAGCCAAAGUAAAUUGCCAGGGAGAUGGGGAGAAGCUGGGGCCAGAGGGCAAGGAUAGGAGAUUGGGCAGUGAGGGAUUCGGGAGGUCAAAGGGCCAAAGGAGCCCCAUGAGGGAGGGAGGGUGAGAGCUUCACCAUUGAGAAAGUCCCGCUGACUUUCCAGGAUCUGAGCCACUUGCUUGAUCCAGGCCUGACUCACUGCAGGGUCUGCGGUCUGCAGGACAUAGCGCUGGAUCCCGCCCUCUGGCCCUCUGGAGGUCAGUGCAAAGCGGCAGGGGUCACCCUGGAGGUUCCCCUCCAGUCCCAGACAGCUCACCUGGGUUGGCAAAUAGGAGAUGGCGCCCAAAUUGUUUAGGCCCUCUGUGGUUCCUGCCCCCUCCAACAAGUCCAAGAGCCAGACAUUCCCUCAGAGGCCUCACCCCAUCCCAGUCAGGCCCCUCCCUAGUGGCCUCCUCCCCACCUUGAUGCUGUUCUUGUACACAUAUCCGGCCUGUGUUCCACCCCGUACUCCUCCUCCCAGGGCCUCACUGAAGAUGACAAUUUGCUCGAAGAGGAAGACACGUCUCUCUCGACCUCGGGAGGACAGCAGCCCCCCCGCCUCGGGCUCGGUGACCCAGAAUGUGUCCUGGCCCAAGAGCUUCCCCUGAGCAGUCAGUUUGCCCUAGAACCAAAGGGCAGCGAUUUUGAGAAAAGAGCAAGAAGAGAAAAGCGCCACACUCUGCUCCUCCCCCCUUCCCCCCGAGGCUCCCAACCAACCAUGGGGUCAGGUCCAGGGGAGGACAGUUCCCCAUGAGGACUUCUCCUCGAGGGCUCAGACUGGGACAAAAGAGCCUCAGGCCUCCCAUUUCCUGUUCUAUCCCCUGUACCUCCCAUUUCCUGUUCUAUCCCCAUACCUCAAACCCCCGAAGUCUCCCCAGGGUCAUCAUGUCAUUGCAGCGCUUGGGUACAAAGCACAUGACCUCCACAGCUUGCUGGGUCACAGGUGAAGAAACGAGCAUUGUCAUUGUGGAGAAAAAGGCCUCUUCAGACCAUGUUUCAACUCUCGACCAGCCUCCCCCUAAAAACCAGGCGGUGCAUCCGCACCCGAGGAGCUGUGGGAACCCAGGAGACUGGAAAACUAAGAGGUACGUGGUGUGUGUCCUGGCAGAUAUGGGGGUCCUCACCUUCAGCUCUUCCGUGUCCAUGCCAGCUCGACUAUAAUAUUUGAGAAAAUCCUAAGAUGUAGAAAAGAAAUGCUCAGGGAGGUGUUGAGGACACCCUCAGAGACUCUGACAUCCUCCCCUGAGGACACAGGUGAGGAUGCCCAGGAAGUCUGGGGGGGGGGGGGGAGGAGUCUUAGGAACCCUGGGGCGAUGAAUGAGGAAAGGGGUGUGCCAGCCAGCAGAACCCCCAGGGAACAGGUGGCUCCGACCUUGAGCAACAGCUGGUACUUCAUGAUCCUCUGCACUGGUUUGAUGAGGAGGUCGUUGAGCUGCAGGCGGUGCCCGAGCUGCUGCCGGAGCUCCUGGGGACAGGGACCAAUGGUUAUGCAGCCAGAAGAGCCCGAGGAUUCCAGCCUGGUCCCCCCAGGUACCUCGGCCACUGACCUCAAAGUAGCUAUCCCCAAAUUCUGAGACCACGUGCUCUGACUUGGGCUUAUUCUGACAGUACACCACGUACAUGUGCAGCCGGCGCUCCUAACGGGUCAAGUUGAAGGGGAGCAGGAUGGGUGAGGAACCAGAGCUCCUCUCCAGGGCCCUGACCCACUCCCAAGCCCCGCCCCCCGCGGCCCCACCCCCUUAGGCCUCACGUGUUUGAUGAACAGCUGAGCCAGCCAAUCAGGAUCCUCCAGGCAGCGCUGUAGCUCCUGCAGGAAAUAGCUGGAGGGGUUGGCAAGAAAAGGCUGGUCAAAUACCCCCACCCCACUCAACUAAGCUGUCUACCUUAGUUGUGCCAUUAAGCCACUCCAAAUGUUCCUCAGGCGACAACAGGCCCAUGGGUAGGUCACAGAGACAACCAGCCACAUGCCCUUCCCCCUCACUCUCGGGGAUCCACCACUCACUCUCGAUGCCACUCAUAGAUCUGCUGGAUGUUCCCAAACACAAUCCUGUCACGGCCUCGAAGACACUCCGGGACCCCCUGAGCAGCCAUGGUGGCCAUGUAACCCUGCAGGAAGGUUGGGAGGCGGGGGGAGGGCAAGAGUGUGGGAGGCCAGCCUUGGUGGGAAAACCGCCUCCCUCCAGAAGUCCAGGAGGCCGGGGUGCGGGGAGGGUGGCACAGAGGAGCACUAGGGCAGAUCCUACAGUUAGCCUUGAGCAGAGAGAAAGGGCUGGGCUAGGGCUGGGAAGAGAACGGGGAGCUACCUCCACAAUCUGCCCCAAGUCGUCCACAUACAUUUUCUCUGUCUCUACCAGUUCACUCAAGACAUACCUGGGAAGAGAGCAGGAGUGCACAUCCUUGGUUUAGCCACUUCCUCCCUCCUGGACUAGAAGCCCCUUCAUUACCACAGCCAACCUCAGAGGAAAUUCCAAGUAUCAAAUCUAAAAUGCGAGGGAUAGUUCUCUGGAAGUUGCACAAUGGGUGGGGGGCAGAGGAGAGGGAGUGUGUGGGGACACUUACAUACUCCUUUCCAUAGCCUUCUUCUUCUGUUCUUCUUCACUCUCAGGGGCUUGGGACAGAGUUCCCUCCUCAGGUGGCUGGAAGGAAAGAACAUCCUAGAGUAAAAAAAAAAAAAAAAAGGAUGCUUUUUGGGGAGCCAUGCAGACCCACUUCUUCAUACCUGCGUCUUAUCUCCAGGGCCCUCCAACAAAGUGGUCAGCAGGGUCAAUUCGGGCAGCUCCUCUCCUGUGGCUAGAGCUGGUUCCAGCACCCAGUUCUGGGAGCCAGAAGUCAAGUGUCAGAAGUCACGGACAGUAGCUACACCUCCCCAGUGACCAGUGGCCCCCAGCCUGCCCUCUCUCCCAAGGUCCUUCAUGGAUGUCCUUCAUGCUUCUGUGGUACUCUCUGCUCACCUCAUAUGGUCCAGCCUGGCCACCGUCUGCCUCAGUUUCCACACUGAGACAAUGUUUGGAAUGAUCCAACCAUCUUCUCAGGCCACUGACUGGCCCUGGGGGGCCCGGGGAACAGGGGCCAGAGCUGAGGCCAGAGCUGGGGCCAGAGGGGGCAGCCAGACCCGAAGUAGCUGAAGCUGAGAUACUCCCCUCACUGCCAGCAAUGGAAUAGGAUUCUAAUGGGGAGUGAGGGUGGGGGGAGGGGAGAAAAGGGGCCAUAGAUAUUACUCCAGCUCGAGAUUCAGGGUCCCCAGGGAGCUCCCAGAGACUCCUCUUCAUGAUGCUGAGCCCUCUCUCCCAGGGCCCACUCUCUUGUCAUUCUCAUUUGAGUUCGCCAGGAUAGAAAAUUUCACCCGGGCACCCUUGGGAGGAAGGACAGUAAACACCUGGGCUCUCAAGGCCCGGAACCUCCAGUUAUAUGUGGAGGCUCCCCCAUAUCCUGAGCAUGCCAUAGAUAUGGAGGGGCAGCCAUCUGGGCAGCCACUGGAAGCUGGGGGUAGCCAUCUGCUCUCCUACCAGCCGCCCCCUUCCAAUGGGCACAGACCAUUCCCUGAGAAGGUGGGGGGGGUAGAGCUAAAAGCCCAUCUGCCACCCCCAGACCCCUCCUGCACCAAUUGCAGUAGUCACUAUAAAAAGACUUCUGCAGCCCAUCUCCCCAACACAUGCACAAACCCAAUGGGGUGGGGGGCGGGGGGG